This is a long non-coding RNA of Cyprinus carpio carpio, 1953 nucleotides long. The record is from Ensembl. NCBI's taxonomy places the organism in Eukaryota, Metazoa, Chordata, Actinopteri, Cypriniformes, Cyprinidae.
UGCAUGUAUUUAAAGGUGCAAUAUGUUAUAUGUUCAAUUUUUUAAAUUACAAAAAAAGUAAAUAAUGAAUACAUAUGUGUUAAUUAUUUGCCAGAUCAUCCUAAAGGCCAGUCUAAUGAUUCUCUGGAGGAGGAAAGGCUCAUCUUGGUAGAGGAAAUGAAGAAGAAAACCAAGAAUGAACUGCUCAUCAAUCAAAAAAUGAGCUUGACUUUCUCCCUCUGACGAAAGGAGAUUGUGGAAGUAGUGCCACUGGUAUCUGAAGUGCUGGAACGAUGGCCUGCCCUGUUUCUUCCAAAUGAGUUAUGUAAUGAGUUCAAAUGCAUCACCAGUGUGGACCUCCUUGAGACAUUCAGAGCAUCAAUACACUAGCACACUCCACAACUCCUCAAGCUAUACAGAGCAAGAAAGGGGGCAUUUGGAACAGAAAUGGAAGAUCUUCUCAACAAUCUUGAUCAGCAGGUAACUUGUUAAUGUCAAAGUUACCAAUAGAUAGAUGGUUUUAAAAAUAGAUUUAUCAGAGCCAUUUGCUAUUUUAUUUUCUAUAAAGAACAUUUUCGGAAGAUAUUUUUGAAGGAUUAUGACAAUGUAUGUCAAGUGUUCACUAGCUGAUUAGAACGAUUUUGGUUCUGAACUUACUGCAUACAAUACUGAUUUCCUAUUUAAGCCAUCUAAUUUGAUUAAUUGGCUCUUAAGCAGAGGCUCUAUGACUUCAAACAUACAUGCAAACUCGUGACAAAAUUGAAUUAAUAACAGUGCAUUACAAUAUUUUUGUUUUUGUUUUGUACCCAUUUUUUUUAGACCACAAAUAUAUCACAGAAAACAAACCAUCCUGGAAGGUCGCCCCAUUUUUCGCCGUGAAGAUUCCUCUGCACUUUUUAAAACAUGCCUGGACAAGACUCCAGAGGACAGACAGACCAGAGGGAUGAAGGUGGGAAUCCUUAUUGUAAUUGAAGAUGAUAUAUAUAUAAUGGAUUUUUAUUUUUAUAAUGUCCUGAAAAUUGCCCAAUUUGGGCGUUUUAAAAGUCAAAAUCAUGAAUUGUGAAACAAAGGUUCCUCCAUAAUCCAUUCUUCUUGUUCAGAUCCUCUGCUUACAAAAAAAAAAGUUAUAUUCCACGCUUGUGGCAUGGAGUGAUAGAAUGGAGUCAAAUUGCUCAAGUCCAGUUCAUUUAUUCUAAUUAAAAACGAUUGCUUAUCAUAUCCAAGACAUGAUGUCCUUCUCAGCAAUACACAUCCCACAUUACUCCACUCGAUCUCCUCUACAUCCUCUAUUUAAAGCUUGAAGACAAAAGAUAUUGAUUUGAUUUCCAAUGUCUACAAGACCUUGUCUUCCUUCUUGAAUUGACAAAUACAAAGCAGGCCCAGGAAUCCAGUGCUGGCCUGACCAAAAUCAAUUCCCCAGGUGGUUCUUGUACCUUUAGCCUGUACCAUAGCAUAGAUGCAGCCAAAUUAUUUAUGACCAGGAGUCUAAUCCUACAGUUCAGGUAAUAGCCAUUUCCAUUUGGACAACUUGGCUGACACCUUAUCCAGCAUCACUUCCUUUUUUUUUUAUAAUUCACUGGACCCUAGAAAACUCGUAAUAUUUUAAUACCUUCUCUUCCCCACUUCAAUCCUCCUGGAAUGUGAGGCAUCACACCAUUCAUCCAAUAACCCAUAAUAAAGCCCUCACAUUUUCCCCAGUUUACCUUUGCAGAAGAAGCUUUUUUUUAAAUAAGGUUCUUACUGAGUGCUUGAAUAUUUUCUUGGCCAGUUACAAAAACAAUUAUGUCAUUUGUAUAUACAGUACAUUCAACCAGUAUAUUACUUGCAAAUGAAUGCCUUCACAAUAAGAACCGUUUCAGCCACUGUGUUUAUAAAAUAAAGAAUUUUAAGAUAGUUGUACUGGAAUUGAAAAUGAAAAACUCAUCUUUAUAAUGUACUGAACAAAAAUCAUUUCCAAAUCAUUCAAAUCUCCGU